Molecule: long non-coding RNA, 391 nt
Organism: Pezoporus flaviventris
Lineage: Eukaryota; Metazoa; Chordata; Aves; Psittaciformes; Psittacidae
Exons: 2
Source: RefSeq, a predicted model, not a curated record
CUGUGGUGCUUGAAAAUGUUGGAGUCUGAGCUGCCCCCAGGACCAGUUCCUCAGCUGGCACAAGAGCUCGCUGCCACAUCCAGUUUUGCAUCCACUGAAGAGAGUCUAUGGGCCUUGUGUGCCAUCUCUGCCCUGUGUUCUGCCUUCAGGGUAAAUGUACCUGCAGUCUCUGGCUUCCAGGAAAGCCCCAAAGCAUGAAAGGCCACACAGCAUCUCUUGGAGGAGGCUGAGGACCCAGCAAACCUGCUCCUAAAGUCCCCUGCAGGGAAAUUGGUCUCAUCAGUAUUCCUGCAGCAGGGUUUGCCACAUGCCCAGGAGUGAUUGGCAGUGGCUUGAGCUUUGCUUUUAAAUCGUGCAGCAUUGCCUAAUAUUAAAACAUGAUUAGAAAGGA